RNAcentral lists this ribosomal RNA (434 nucleotides) under uncultured bacterium. Its description in RNAcentral is "bacterial SSU rRNA". It matches the Rfam family "Bacterial small subunit ribosomal RNA", at positions 355 to 786 of the family's 1533-position model. The record is from RNAcentral.
UGAGGAAUAUUGGUCAAUGGGCGGGAGCCUGAACCAGCCAAGCCGCGUGAGGGAAGAAGGCCCUAUGGGUCGUAAACCUCUUUUGUCAUGGGAACAAAAGCGAGUAUGUAUACUAGUCUGAGUGUACCUGAAGAAAAAGCAUCGGCUAACUCCGUGCCAGCAGCCGCGGUAAUACGGAGGAUGCGAGCGUUAUCCGGAUUUAUUGGGUUUAAAGGGUGCGUAGGCGGCGAUGCAAGUCAGCGGUAAAAGCCCGGGGCUCAACCCCGGCGAGCCGUUGAAACUGCAGUGCUAGAGAAGGCGAGAGGUACGCGGAAUGCGCAGUGUAGCGGUGAAAUGCUUAGAUAUUGCGCAGAACUCCGAUUGCGAAGGCAGCGUACUGGCGCCUGACUGACGCUGAGGCACGAAAGCGUGGGGAUCGAACAGGAUUAGAUACC